GCCGCGAUAGUUCAUUCGGUAGAACGCAUCCAUGGUAAGGAUGAAAGACGAGUUCAAAUCUCGUUCGUGGCU
Molecule: transfer RNA, 72 nt
Filed under: SR1 bacterium human oral taxon HOT-345
Lineage: Bacteria; Candidatus Absconditibacteriota
Also listed under: 3 other names
Rfam family: tRNA
About the family: Transfer RNA (tRNA) molecules are approximately 80 nucleotides in length. Their secondary structure includes four short double-helical elements and three loops (D, anti-codon, and T loops).
Source: Rfam by way of RNAcentral